This 509-nucleotide ribosomal RNA is filed under the name Escherichia coli. RNAcentral describes it as "bacterial SSU rRNA". It matches the Rfam family "Bacterial small subunit ribosomal RNA", at positions 1 to 497 of the family's 1533-position model. The record is from RNAcentral. Lineage: Bacteria; Pseudomonadati; Pseudomonadota; Gammaproteobacteria; Enterobacterales; Enterobacteriaceae.
UUAAAUUGAAGAGUUUGAUCAUGGCUCAGAUUGAACGCUGGCGGCAGGCCUAACACAUGCAAGUCGAACGGUAACAGGAAACAGCUUGCUGUUUCGCUGACGAGUGGCGGACGGGUGAGUAAUGUCUGGGAAACUGCCUGAUGGAGGGGGAUAACUACUGGAAACGGUAGCUAAUACCGCAUAACGUCGCAAGACCAAAGAGGGGGACCUUCGGGCCUCUUGCCAUCAGAUGUGCCCAGAUGGGAUUAGCUAGUAGGUGGGGUAACGGCUCACCAAGGCGACGAUCCCUAGCUGGUCUGAGAGGAUGACCAGCCACACUGGAACUGAGACACGGUCCAGACUCCUACGGGAGGCAGCAGUGGGGAAUAUUGCACAAUGGGCGCAAGCCUGAUGCAGCCAUGCCGCGUGUAUGAAGAAGGCCUUCGGGUUGUAAAGUACUUUCAGCGGGGAGGAAGGGAGUAAAGUUAAUACCUUUGCUCAUUGACGUUACCCGCAGAAGAAGCACCGGC